Molecule: ribosomal RNA, 274 nt
Filed under: Cladonia borealis
Lineage: Eukaryota; Fungi; Ascomycota; Lecanoromycetes; Lecanorales; Cladoniaceae
Description: partial small subunit ribosomal RNA
Source: RNAcentral
AGUCGUAACAGGUUUCCGUAGGUAAUAGGUUUGCCUACCGAAGCCCGUAGCCAGCGACUAUAAACAACUCGGCCAUAGUCGCCCCUCUGGGGGCUGGCGACGCCGUCAAUCUGUGCCUGGUAGUGCCUCUUCCGGGGGUAUCACCAGCAGCCCGUUGCCCUGCGGCAUUCGAGUUCACAGAUCAAACGAUAGCGGCCACUGCCUGUGGUUGAGAUAUGAUCGGCCUCCAGCUCUCACUGAGCUGGCGAAAAUUUGCGGAACCUGCGGAAGGAUC